Molecule: transfer RNA, 73 nt
Rfam family: tRNA
About the family: Transfer RNA (tRNA) molecules are approximately 80 nucleotides in length. Their secondary structure includes four short double-helical elements and three loops (D, anti-codon, and T loops).
Source: Rfam
UCCCGAUUAGCUCAGUUGGUAGAGCGCACGACUUUUAAUCGUGUGGUCGCGGGUUCGAGCCCCGCAUUGGGAG